This 401-nucleotide long non-coding RNA is filed under the name Salmo salar (Atlantic salmon). Its description in RNAcentral is "lncRNA (ENSSSAG00000104515.1)". The record is from RNAcentral. Lineage: Eukaryota; Metazoa; Chordata; Actinopteri; Salmoniformes; Salmonidae.
AAAAUCUCCGUCUCGUUAGCACAUGAUGUAAGCCAGCCGGACUUCUCGUCAUGAACGAGGGGAAAAAAUAUAUUUCCGUUCGUUCAAACAUGUCAAACGUUGUAUAGCAUAAAUCAUUAGGGCCUUUUUUAACCAGAACAUGAAUAGUAUUCAAGGUGGACGAAUGCAUACUCUUUUAUAACGUAUUGGAACGAGGGUACCCAACAUGAACUCGCGCGCCAGGUGUCUAAUGGGCCAUCAUCGUUCCAUGGCUCUUGUUCGGUCAGAUCUCCCUCCAGAAGACUCAAAACACUUUGUAAAGGCUGGUGACAUCUAGUGGAAGCAAUAGGAAGUGCCAAAAUAUUCCUCAGCCCCUGUGUUUUUCAAUGGGAUAGGUUUAAAGGUAAUACAACACAUCAGGA